GCGGAAGUGGCUCAGUUGGUAGAGCAUCUCCUUGCCAAGGAGAAGGUCGCGGGUUCGAGUCCCGUCUUCCGCUCCA
Molecule: transfer RNA, 76 nt
Filed under: Sphaerobacter thermophilus
Lineage: Bacteria; Pseudomonadati; Thermomicrobiota; Thermomicrobia; Sphaerobacterales; Sphaerobacteraceae
Also listed under: 4 other names
Description: tRNA-Gly
Rfam family: tRNA
About the family: Transfer RNA (tRNA) molecules are approximately 80 nucleotides in length. Their secondary structure includes four short double-helical elements and three loops (D, anti-codon, and T loops).
Source: RNAcentral